This is a long non-coding RNA of Paramisgurnus dabryanus, 1139 nucleotides long. RefSeq lists it as uncharacterized. Lineage: Eukaryota; Metazoa; Chordata; Actinopteri; Cypriniformes; Cobitidae. The record is from RefSeq and is a predicted model, not a curated record.
CAAGUAAACAAACUCAAAUCCUAUUCAGACCAUUCAUGAUUCCAGCAAUAACCAAGUUUUUUCGUAACAAUAAGACUGCAUUUACAAUGCAAAUCUUAAUGCACAGAUCAUAUUUUUUUGACUAUAUUCAUUUUUUGUUCUGAUCUUUUUAUAUUUACAUAAGACACUAUUCAUAUCUGAUAUCGGUGUUACAAUAAUUUGCAAAACUACAGUUAAUAUGAGUGUCAUGAUUUGCACUUGAGUUUUGUAUCGACUUAAGCCAGGGUCACUGCCAAUUUAGGCAUGUUUUAAUUAUGACACUUAAACAAUUGUAUAUGUACUUCGAUAAAGGUUUUUGCAAUCAUGGAAACAUAAGUGAAUCGCAGACAGCAUUCUUCUUUUACGAAUGUAAAAUGGCUGGAGUAGUGAUGUCACUAGCUAAAUUAAUUUUCAUUUGACCUCCCCCACAGAAAGACACAGCACAUCAUUAUAUCGUUGGCUCCGCCCACUGGUGUUCAGUCUAAAGUAGUAGUUGUUGACAAUCAUAAAGUUGUAAUAACAGUAAGAUUGUGAUGUCAGACAAACAUUGUGCUGUUGCUGGCUGUGGGAAAUUAGUGUCUUUGUAAGGGUCGCAAAUAAUUUGAAAAUAUUUAUGUUUCUAAAUAUGCCCCCCUACCAUGAACUAAACUGGACUGUUGCAGAGACCAAGUGUAGUAGGGUACACUACUAUGCAGAAUUCUGGCCUGGUGUUUGGUCCCCCCUUUCUCUGGCUUGUGUCUCCAUCAUCAUUACACUCUUGUCAGUGUAAUAGUAUCGUCGUCUGCAUACCAGGACUUUGUUACUCAGCUGUCCCUUCUCCUUCAAGCUACAUUUUUGUCAAGCUGCAACAAGUUGGAAUACAUAAUUAUUAACGUUUAAUGAUUUUGAUGUAUGAAAUAUGUAACAAAAGCAAAAAAUGUAUAGACAUUCUAUUAAGAAAUUACCUUUUUGUUGUUUGUUUACUGACCUUUCAACCAUAUUGCAUUUAUAAUUGAUCAUCAUACCUUUGGUCUACUGUUAACAGGUUACUGUAGAAAACAAAGUCAAACAAAAAAGAGAGAAAAAAAUUAUAAAUGCUGAAUGUGUCUCAUCUUAAAUACAUUGUUGUUGUUUUUGUUUCA